RNAcentral lists this long non-coding RNA (586 nucleotides) under Salvia miltiorrhiza (redroot sage). Its description in RNAcentral is "long non-coding RNA (SMIL_LNC009023)". The record is from RNAcentral. Lineage: Eukaryota; Viridiplantae; Streptophyta; Magnoliopsida; Lamiales; Lamiaceae.
AGGAAGGGAAGGAGGUGAGACUGCAGGAGUUGAUGAAGGAUAAAGGUCCGGUUUGGGACGAAAUCGUGAGGGAGAAUGGCUUGUCGUCAACCAAGUUGGAGGAUGUUGGGAUUUGGUGGUUUGUUGAUCAUAUGUUUGAGCAUGCAUGUAUGUUGGAUACAAUGAACAAAAGCAAGGAGCAUGGAUUCCUUGGAUUCAGGAAUUCCAAGAAUUCCUUCAUUUCUUGGAUUGAUAAGGUGAAAGCUUACAAGAUUGUUCCUUAAAUUGUAUACAUGUCUGCUAUGUGCUUCGUUACUGAGUUUGUUUCCUUGGUUGUUAGUGUGUUAUGCAUCGUUUCUUUAUUGAACGAAAUGGAAUAAAUCUGUAUAAUAAGAUUGGCUUCAAUUGGGAAGAGAAAAUGAUGUGGAAAUAUACAUAGUUGGUGGAUGUAAUUUCCUUUUGGAUUUGGUGGUGUGCUUGUGUUUGCUGCCUUGAUGGUAUAUGUAAAUUUCAGUUUCUGUACUUUUGUCCUGGAUUUCAGCAAUUAAUGAUGUUGUUAUUACAUUUAUUUUGUUUCAACUCUAUGAAGAGGAAAAAUUAUCCUAAG